This 893-nucleotide ribosomal RNA is filed under the name Fusarium sambucinum. RNAcentral describes it as "LSU rRNA". It matches the Rfam family "Eukaryotic large subunit ribosomal RNA", at positions 38 to 961 of the family's 3401-position model. The record is from RNAcentral. Lineage: Eukaryota; Fungi; Ascomycota; Sordariomycetes; Hypocreales; Nectriaceae.
GCAUAUCAAUAAGCGGAGGAAAAGAAACCAACAGGGAUUGCCCUAGUAACGGCGAGUGAAGCGGCAACAGCUCAAAUUUGAAAUCUGGCUCUCGGGCCCGAGUUGUAAUUUGUAGAGGAUGCUUUUGAUGCGGUGCCUUCCGAGUUCCCUGGAACGGGACGCCAUAGAGGGUGAGAGCCCCGUCUGGUUGGAUGCCAAAUCUCUGUAAAGCUCCUUCGACGAGUCGAGUAGUUUGGGAAUGCUGCUCUAAAUGGGAGGUAUAUGUCUUCUAAAGCUAAAUACCGGCCAGAGACCGAUAGCGCACAAGUAGAGUGAUCGAAAGAUGAAAAGCACUUUGAAAAGAGAGUUAAAAAGUACGUGAAAUUGUUGAAAGGGAAGCGUUUAUGACCAGACUUGGGCUUGGUUAAUCAUCUGGGGUUCUCCCCAGUGCACUUUUCCAGUCCAGGCCAGCAUCAGUUUUCGCCGGGGGAUAAAGGCUUCGGGAAUGUGGCUCUCUCCGGGGAGUGUUAUAGCCCGUUGCGUAAUACCCUGGCGGGGACUGAGGUUCGCGCAUCUGCAAGGAUGCUGGCGUAAUGGUCAUCAACGACCCGUCUUGAAACACGGACCAAGGAGUCGUCUUCGUAUGCGAGUGUUCGGGUGUCAAACCCCUACGCGUAAUGAAAGUGAACGCAGGUGAGAGCUUCGGCGCAUCAUCGACCGAUCCUGAUGUUCUCGGAUGGAUUUGAGUAAGAGCAUACGGGGCCGGACCCGAAAGAAGGUGAACUAUGCCUGUGUAGGGUGAAGCCAGAGGAAACUCUGGUGGAGGCUCGCAGCGGUUCUGACGUGCAAAUCGAUCGUCAAACAUGGGCAUGGGGGCGAAAGACUAAUCGAACCUUCUAGUAGCUGGUUUCCGC